AAUUCUCAACCUUGCAAGCUUUUUUGCUAGCGAGGCUUGGAUGUGAGGGCUUUUGCUGGCUUCCUUUAGUUGGAUGGUCUGCUCCCUUUAAAUUCAUUAGUGGAUUCCUUUGUGGAUGGUCACUUGGUGUGAUAAUUAUCUACGCCGCCUGACUCUGAUACAAAACUUGUGGGGACCUGCUCAUAACCGUCUCUUCGAGACAAUCUAUAUUGACA
This 215-nucleotide unclassified non-coding RNA is filed under the name uncultured Agaricales. RNAcentral's name for it is "sequence contains ITS2". Lineage: Eukaryota; Fungi; Basidiomycota; Agaricomycetes; Agaricales. The record is from RNAcentral. RNAcentral also lists the same sequence under 1 other name.